This is a non-coding RNA of Coturnix japonica (Japanese quail), 7480 nucleotides long. NCBI's taxonomy places the organism in Eukaryota, Metazoa, Chordata, Aves, Galliformes, Phasianidae. The record is from RefSeq and is a predicted model, not a curated record.
UUGGCAUGAAUAGUUUUCUUUAACUCAAUUUUGUAAGCACCUCUUGUCACUGUACCUUGUGCCCACAUGUCCAAACAGCAGAUCUGGACUAUGUACCUACUUGGGUACACCCUCUUUCCACUGAAAUGCAGCCCUUCUGUUUCACAUGGAUUAAAAAGUACAAAAAAUGACAUCCAGUGCAGUGUGAGCAUCCCAACAGUACAGGAGCACGGAUGAGGGAUAAAAGCAUAGGAGUGGAGGCGCUGCAGUGGUUCCUUCCUUGGGCAGGGCAAUGGUUAGGUGCUCAUUGGUGUCGAUGUCGGUCUCUCUUCUCCAUGCCUAACAUCAUGCAUGGAGCCAAUGGGGCUAUGUUGGGACAGGACACCAUGGGUCACCUCCUUUGCUGGCACAUGGGGAGCAGCUGCUGCCUGCAGAGAAACCAUCCCGAAGGUCAAGCUCUGCACAUGCUUUGUCUUAGUCACAGUGGUUUUCUCAGCCCUAAUUGAUAACUGAUGAGAAAACCUUCUGCUCUACGCAUGCCUAUGCAUAUGUAUAGACGUGCACACAGAUGAACACGUGUGUAUAUAAAUGGAUCUCUUUAAAUUUAAAUAGAUUUAUGCCCAAGGGCAGGAAGGUGGAUAAAAGGUCGUUACAAAGAGAGGAGAUCCAACACAUCUGUGCGCUCCAUUGUGAGGAUUAAAUCUGUAGUAGGCUGCAUUCAGUGCUAAUACUCCUAUUAAUUUCUAUUUUUCAUUAUUGUUUUCACAUUUGUCAAGCUUCGAUGAAGGGAUAAUGAAGUAAACGGAUGUUAACUGCAAAUUAAUCAUCCCUGUCCUGAUAGCGUAACACAAGUUCCUUUUCACUUACCUUCAUCACUUAGAAAUAGCAACACACGUUACAUAUUCAUAGCAGCAAAACCUGCUGGAUUCCGUAAGAUAGCAAAAAAAAAAAAAAAAAAAGGAAAAAGACUGACUUAUUUCUAAAGAAAGUAGAGAUACUCAUUGAAAAUGCUGGUUUGAACUCCGAGAAGGAGCUGGGAAAGAUGAGGGUGUAGCAAUGCAUGGAGAGCUUGUGAGAAACCACGCGCGAGUAUGGAUCUAUGGCUGUGUUUAGCUAUUGAAGUUGAGAUGAUUUGAAGGUCUCUCUUUUUUUAUUUAAACUGGAGUGUGUUUCUUCUCAUUGUGUGGCAAGAGACAGAUGCAUUUGGCAAUAGAGAGGUUUUUUUUUUCUUGCAAACCUCUUUGUUUUGGAACUUGAUUUCUCUGAGCCUGGUUUUGUGGUGGUGUUGGGUUUUUGGGAGCCUGGAGGUUCCUCGGUACCAGCAUGAAUGAGAACAGUGUCAGUGAGACUUUGGGCUUAUUGAGGUCCUUCUAAGUGACCACAGAGGGGCUGGAGGUGGGGCUGGAGAGCCCCCAGCCCCAGUGAUGUGUUUGCUCAGGGGUUACAUUGGUAUCUGCUGGAGGCUUUGGGCACACUGCUCUGGGACAGUUGCUCCUGGGCUUUGAGCACUUGCUUGUUUUCAGCUUGGACUUUGACUCAGGCAAAUGUAUGAAUUUCUGCUUGGAUGUUUUACUCCCAAUGGGGUGAUGUUGGGUUUUAUGGUAUUAAAGACCUGUGUUUCAUGGUAAAUGAAGCCAUUCCUGGGGGAAGUGGCCACUGUGGGUUCAUCCCGGAGGUGCUCAGAGAAUACUCCAAGGUUUGCAGGCAUUGUCUGGGAGGAGGCAUCAUUUUGGGCAUUUCUUAAAGCAAUUUCUCCCAGCCUUUGUCACUUCCUUUUUAUCAUGUUUAUCCUUGCCAGUACUUGGUACAGUCGUCCUUCUUUUACCAGUCACUUGAGAAUGAUGGUAACACAGCAGUUUUCCAUACCUGUACCAACAUCACUUUUUGUCUUCCCAACUUGGAUUUAUUACUGGUCCUUCCUUUUUGAAAUGCAAAGUUUUUGCAGCAAAUAGUCAUCUAAUCAUUGUCCAGUGACACCUCUACCAGGAUAUUGCCUUUCCUGCUGUCCCCAUCACUUGUUUGGAGGCACCAAGUGACAUUUUCCUGCAUAGCUUUCACUCGCCUGCUGUCCUGGAGAAACAGCCUCAUCCUGCUUACCCUGUGCUUGGGUCAGGAUGGGCAGCCAACCUCUGUCCGCAGACCCACUUUCUGCAUCCAACUCAUCUUGAUUAUACACAGAACCUUCCCACUGUCUCCCCUCCUCUUCUCUCUUCACAUUCCCUACUUUUUUUUUUUUUUUUUUAUCUCUUCUCCCUCUCAACAGGUGCUGACAGAACAUUUUCUCGCUGUAGUUCUGUUGGAUUUCAAAGGCCUGGAUUUCACUCCUCUCCCACUAUCUCGGCUAUGUGCUCUCCAAGCUGAAACAUCUCCAUUCAUUUAGUAAGCCAUAGAAAGAAACAAAGCAAUGGAGAGGGACAUAAGUAUUCCAGAAUUCAGUGCUCUGACAGCGCAGUUAACUAACAUUGACCUCUGGCUACUUCUGUGGCUGCUGUGUAACGCUUCAUACUGAGUGUUUCUUUUGUUUUGUCUCCAGCCCAAGAAUUCAUUUUUUAAUAAGAAAACUCAGAAGUGCCUCUGAAGGGUAUGGGCUCAUGAGCAUCACUACUGUGUUGCAGACGUGCAAGCUUCACUCGCUCACAUGGUCCACGGUUUCCAGCUAUUUGGAUUAAUGAGGGUCCAGUGUAGUCCUUGCUUUCUCCUCUUGCAAGAUGCAGGCAAUAGAGCCUCGGAUCUGCCUUUGCCUCUUCAGGCAUCUUCUCCAUGCCAUCACGUGUGCACACCGCUGCUUGGAGAGCCUUGGAGAAGAGGAGGGAAGGCUCUCAACAUGCUAAGCGAGCGGCUGGUUUACUUUCCUUGUUGCUCCCAUGGCUGGAGGAGCAGCACACUUCAUGCACCUGCCUCCAGUCCCUAGAGUCAGCUGUUAAAUCUAGCUCUAGUUAUUUGCUCUUGAAAUUCAGUCCUGCCUUUCAUGGGCCUCUUCUGCUUUAUAUCUGUCCUCAUGCUCAGGGGUUCCCUUUACUGUCAAACUGCUUCUUCCCCUCUUUUUUGCCCUGUCACCCAGCUCUCCCACAGGUGGAUUUUCUAGUUGCAUGCAUCCUGGUCCCCUUCCCAGGACAAAGGUGCCCCGUGUUUUCUGCCUUGCUGCCUCCCAUCUCCUCUAUUGCCCAUGACUUGCUUCCUUUUCCCAGGACAAAAGAUAAUCCUCAUUUCUCGGCACAGAUAACCGAUUGGCUCUGCUGAAGAACAGAAAAGGAAUUUGCUUCACCUGUGCACAAGGGCUGAAGGAUGGUGAGUGCUCCUCCUAGCGAGGUCCUUUGCUCUCCCAGGGCUGUGGGGAGUGUGCUGGGACUCAGUUCUCAGAUCUCAACCCCACAGUGAGAAAUGAUGCAUAAUCCAAGUCACUGCACUUCUCCUUGCUCCUGUUCUUGGCCUGGCUGUCUGAGUGUUGAUUCCUCUGGCUACCCUGGAGCAUCUUUAUUUCCCUUUGACCUUCACAAAGCCAGCAGUGCUUCCUCUGGGAAGGAGGAAGAAGACUCAGUCCAUCAAGACCCACGUCCCUGUGGUCUUUCAUCAGCUUGUCCACCCGAAGUGGCAGGGACCCGUGCCCCUUCCCACCCUGGGACUGGGAUUUGGAUGUAGUGGGUGCUGCUGUCAGAGCUGUGCAAACCUGACCUUCCUGAAGGGUUUAGGAUCCUAAAUCACACAGGCUUAUCAAAAAAUAAAAUCCAGGCUCUCAAGUGUCUCAAGCAGUUAAGCUCAUUUUGUGGAGAGAUGUGAGAUAUUUCUAAAUGGAAUCAGGAAUGGAGGAAGCAGCUGGGUACGUUUUAAUUCUAAUUUUUCCUAUAUAUCAAGCGUUAAAUUAACAAGUGAGGGAGAACACUACUGAGGAGCUAUCUGCUGUUUAGACAGGCAUAUCAGGAUAAAAUUACUCUGUGCUUGCCCGUGGUUUGUCUGGAUACUCCUGGAACUGCACCAGUAAAGAGUAUAAUUGCACUGCUCUUUGAGGCUUCGGGUUUGGUGCUGCGAAUCCUCCCCACCGUCUGACUACGCAAGGCUUGAUGACGUUAGGUAAUUAUUCCCUGUAGGCAAUUUCUACCGAGGCAGGGCACAAUGCUCCUCAGAGGAUGCGCUAUCAGGAGAAAAGGGAGAAUGGCUCAAGCAAAGGAUUAAUAUUUUUAGCUGUAAAGACGGUUGGCUCGAAUGUUUGCUGGAGAGAGGAUUUCCUUGCUGUGUUUCAGCAUGGGAGUCUAAUUGGCACAGGAAAGACACUGCAGUUUAGACGAUGAUGUCUACUUCUGAAUGACCAAUGUAAUUCACAGACUACCUCAAUAUCAUCAGUACUUCUUAAAGCAUUGUUUUCAUUUUACAACAGUGAGAAUAAGGAUCAAUACCAUUGUUUUCAAAUUAGAGUAAAUGAGUUUAAAAUCAGAACCCUCCCCAACAUUGGUUGCCACAUGGUAUUGGGCACUGAGGGCUUUGGGUUAAUUCACAUCCGUACAUAUCACCUUUAUGGAGCACAGGCACAGCCAGCUGUACCUCAUAGGUGCACUUUGAGUAGUCGUGUCUCUGUGUUCAUAUUGACUUUCACUGAAGCUCAGACAUCAAAUGCUUCAGUGCACUGAAUGUGAUAUUUUUUCUCAAUCCAAGUCCCAGGAGGACUCACUCCAGGCAUCCCCACUCAAUGAAAUAUUGUCUCUGCCGCCAGGGAAAGCAAUCUCUUGAGAAACAAGCCUGGAUGUAGAGGAACAGAUCAUUUCCCAGCAACCUUUUGAUAUUGUCAAACCUUCAAUCUUUUGAUGAUUUUUGGACUUGGUGACUACACUGGACCAGCCUUGGGCACUAAAUGCUUAAUUUCCACCAGUGUUUAUUAUUAUUCCUUUUGCAUAUCUCACAUCAUUUAAUGGUAGAUGUAGCACUGUGGUUUCCAUUUUAUAGAUGGAAUAGUUGUGUUGCAGACGGAUAACUGGACAGCCUGGAAAGUAGGUGCAAGCCUGCUCUGGGUAGCUGAGUUCCUUUUGCAAUGCCAGCGUGCCUGAAGGAUGCUUGUGUGAACAUGCCCUGACAUUUGUAGUUCAGGUUGGUAGAUGUCGCAGAAAUGCUGACUCAUGGCUUGAAGCAGUGAUUGAGCACCUGGUGGAAGGCAGGGCCAACCCAGGGGAGCUCAGGUGCUUGCAGUGUACCCCAGUGACUACAAGGGUGGAGCCAGGAUCCAGCCCUUCCCUGACCUCAUUAAAGAGUCAGCAGUGGAGGUGAGGGUACUUCCCUGGAGAUUCUUGCCUACUUGGGGCUUUCUGUAGCAUGCUUCCAUGCGUUGCAGAGCCUCAAAAAAAGCAGCAGCAGGAAGCUUAGAUUCUAUUUCCCACUCUUUCCCAGCUACAAUGAAGAUGUUCUGCUAGCAGAUGUUACAUGAUGGCAUCCUGGUAUUCAUUUUAAUGCUGGGGAAGUAGUGGCAGAAAUGGUCUUCAAGAAACCAGCAUCUACUGAAGAUGGCAGGGCUGGAGAUGCUGCCAAAAGAGCCACAAAAGCAUGAUGCAAACUCAGUCCUCUUGCUGGGCUUUGGGAACUGCUCAGCUUUCAGCUGCAUUUGUGCCACUCCGGCUGUUUCUGGUUAAGAGAAAGUUGGAGAAGUGCCCUUUUGCCCAAGGUCUGAUCUCCUAAGGGCUGCUGAGGUGUUAGCUGAUCCCCCUUGUUGCUGCACAGCUACCUCUGUUUCAAUGCAAGUACAUGAGGGCAUCAGCAGUAGUCUGUAUGCUGUGGAUGUAUCAGUGUAAUACAUGAGAUGGUUCUUUUUCCCAUCUCCACUUCUGCAGGCUCCAGUAUGCUGCCUGAGUUCCCCUUUGGACUCCAGAGUCCCAUUGAGAUCAUGACAGCCAUGUUUAUGUGCUAUUCUAAUGCUGGUUGUUGCAGUGUAAGUGCUUUUUAAUGCACGGCAUUACAGCAGGUGCAUGCUGUUCUCUCCCUUACCGAAUGACUGUCUGGAGGGAUGUAAUUCCAGCUUCUGCUUCAGCACGCCGUUAUUUACAAGUGUGGUUACAUGGUUUGUGCCACCUCUGAGCUUAAUUUAGUUAAUUUGGCACACAGCACACAAGAACCACCUUUACAGAAUGUGUGCUGUGUUACCCAGCUGGCUUAGGGAUCCCAUAACUGCAUCCCAGAGGUGACAGACUUCAGAAGAGCAUCCAGGGAGCUAUGAGUAGUGGUGUCAGUAACAUGAAAUCCCAUCACUCCUACACAUAAAGCUAGAGCAGGACACAUGCAGUGUGUGUCUUGGGGUGAGCAGGUCUAUGGCAGCUCCUUGGCCAUUGACACAGGGUUAUGGAUUUGCAGAUGUGGUUGUGUACAGUCAUACUGGACUGGUUCCUAUAGCUACUUUCAGUGUGAAGUUCCUCUGAUGGAGGGAGCUCAGCUGGAAGCAAUACAGCUAACAAAGGUGUUCUGUGCUGAUGUGGUUGUUUUUUGGUUGUUUUUGGUUUUUUUUGUUUUUUUUUCCAGAGGGAACUAUCUGUUCUGAUGAUGUUCUCUUGACCAUGUGUACCUCUUGCCCCUUGCAGCCUGAAAAUUACUUGCCACAAUAACCAGUGCUGUAGACACUAAAAGUGAAAUUCAGAUACCUGGAAAGGAGAAAUCCAGUGCAAAGACAGCUCCUUUGCAGGUCCUCCUCCCAUCCAGAAGGUACUCAAAGCUUGGUGGGUGACUUCUGGGGUUACCUGCCAGUGCUGGCUUCCCCAGGAGCUACUUGAGAUGGUUCAGAGCCAACAGGUUUUACCCUCUUUGCCAGGGUCACCAGUUUCUGGGGGUGUUGCUGGUCAUGAACCACCUUGUCCAGGUAGCGAGUGGGGAUCUGGGCUGCUGCAAUGCAAGAGAUGGAAGAUAAAAAAAAAACAGAUAUAGAUAACAUGCAAAUUUAAUAGGUUAAAGGAUCAGGGUUUUUGUUUCAUGGAAAAGAAAUCCCACUGACUGCUUUUCUGUAUCUAUCCAUGCUACCACUUUCCAAUAUCUGUGUUUUCCUCUACUCACCGUGUUGCUACAGUGAUUCCAGUUUGCCCUGAUAUCCACAAGGAGAUGAAUUUCAAAGGUGGUUCCCAUGGGUGCUCCUACAGGCAGCGAGGAGACCAGGGAUGUGAGAGAAUCACACAAGCAGCAGAGAAGCAAAACAUCUCCUUAGGGCUCCUGUGGCUGUUUGCGCUGAUGCCAGCCCAUGAUCUGUUUCUUCCAAUGGUCGAACCCUGCUGGAUUGACCGCAAGUUGCUCCAGCACUAGGGUCAGUCAGAGCUCCAUGUGGCUAUGGGAAAGGUUUGGUGACUGGGAGAUUUCUGCAUUGAGUACAGGCAGGGUGAUGAUGUUCAUGGCUUCAUCUAGGGCUCCUUUUUCUUUGCGAAGAACUCUUGCUUGCUCUGCCAGUUUGCAGCACUGCUGAGGUCUCUCUAAUCUCCAGGCAUUGCUGUCUCUUAUGUUUUCUAUGUCUCAGGUGCUCAAUAAAUGUUAAAUAAUAAAUGCUAAA